This 503-nucleotide ribosomal RNA is filed under the name uncultured bacterium. RNAcentral's name for it is "partial 16S ribosomal RNA". It matches the Rfam family "Bacterial small subunit ribosomal RNA", at positions 30 to 523 of the family's 1533-position model. The record is from RNAcentral.
AUUGAACGCUGGCGGCAGGCUUAACACAUGCAAGUCGAGCGGGGUGAUGGUGCUUGCACUAUCACUUAGCGGCGGACGGGUGAGUAAUGCUUAGGAAUCUGCCUGUUAGUGGGGGACAACAUCUCGAAAGGGAUGCUAAUACCGCAUACGUCCUACGGGAGAAAGCAGGGGAUCACUUGUGACCUUGCGCUAAUAGAUGAGCCUAAGUCGGAUUAGCUAGUUGGUGGGGUAAAGGCCUACCAAGGCGACGAUCUGUAGCGGGUCUGAGAGGAUGAUCCGCCACACUGGGACUGAGACACGGCCCAGACUCCUACGGGAGGCAGCAGUGGGGAAUAUUGGACAAUGGGGGGAACCCUGAUCCAGCCAUGCCGCGUGUGUGAAGAAGGCCUUAUGGUUGUAAGGCACUUUAAGCGAGGAGGAGGCUCUUUUGGUUAAUACCCAAGAUGAGUGGACGUUACUCGCAGAAUAAGCACCGGCUAACUACGUGCCAGCCGCCGCGGUAA